UUUUAGCCCCGAUUGAAGCGGAAAGCUACGAAGCGAAAAAAACUAAUUUUUCUUGCAACAACAGAGCGACCAAAGGAAGCUCCUGUUGUUGUUUAGAAAAAUAGUUUUUUGAGUGAGUACUUGUAGCGUAAAGCGGGAUUGGCU
RNAcentral lists this small RNA (144 nucleotides) under Flavobacterium psychrophilum. RNAcentral's name for it is "Flavo-1 RNA". It matches the Rfam family "Flavo-1 RNA". The record is from RNAcentral. Lineage: Bacteria; Pseudomonadati; Bacteroidota; Flavobacteriia; Flavobacteriales; Flavobacteriaceae. RNAcentral also lists the same sequence under 2 other names.